This 254-nucleotide ribosomal RNA is filed under the name uncultured bacterium. RNAcentral's name for it is "partial 16S ribosomal RNA". It matches the Rfam family "Bacterial small subunit ribosomal RNA", at positions 524 to 776 of the family's 1533-position model. The record is from RNAcentral.
UACAGAGGUGGCAAGCGUUGUUCGGAUUUACUGGGCGUAAAGGGCGCGUAGGCGGCCACCGCAAGUCGACUGUGAAAUCUCCGGGCUUAACCCGGAGCGGCCAAGUGAUACUGUUGUGCUAGAGUGCGGAAGGGGCUACUGGAAUUCUCGGUGUAGCGGUGAAAUGCGUAGAUAUCGAGAGGAACACCUGCGGCGAAGGCGGGUAGCUGGGCCGACACUGACGCUGAGGCGCGAAAGCCAGGGGAGCGAACGGG